RNAcentral lists this ribosomal RNA (408 nucleotides) under uncultured bacterium. Its description in RNAcentral is "partial 16S ribosomal RNA". It matches the Rfam family "Bacterial small subunit ribosomal RNA", at positions 29 to 526 of the family's 1533-position model. The record is from RNAcentral.
AGUGAACGCUGGCGGCGUGCCUAAUACAUGCAAGUCGAACGGAGUGGCGCACGGGUGAGUAAUAUAUAGCUAAUCUGCCCCUUGCUGGAGGACAACAGUUAGAAAUGACUGCUAAUUCCCCAUAUCAAGGGAUGAGACUAUAUCGUAUCAGCUAGUCGGUGGGGUAACGGCCUACCGAGGCUAUGACGCGUAACUGGUCUGAGAGGAUGAUCAGUAAAAUUGGAAGUGAGACACGGUCAAGAAUCCUACGGGAGGGGGCAGUAGGGAAUAGUGCGCAAGGGGGGAAAGCCUGACGCAGCAACGCCGCGUGAAGGAUGACAAUUUUCGGAGCGUAAACUCCUUUUGUUAGGGAAGCGGUACCUAACGAAUAAGCACCGGCUAACUCCGUACCAGCCGCCGCGGUAAUAC